This 497-nucleotide ribosomal RNA is filed under the name uncultured Bacillota bacterium. Its description in RNAcentral is "bacterial SSU rRNA". It matches the Rfam family "Bacterial small subunit ribosomal RNA", at positions 28 to 504 of the family's 1533-position model. The record is from RNAcentral. Lineage: Bacteria; Bacillati; Bacillota.
GACGAACGCUGGCGGCGUGCCUAAUACAUGCAAGUCGGGCGGGGUUUUGGGGAGCUUGCUCCUUAAAACCCAGCGGCGGACGGGUGAGUAACACGUGGGCAACCUGCCCGCAAGACCGGGAUAACUCCGGGAAACCGGGGCUAAUACCGGAUAGGACCCCGGAUCGCAUGAUCCGGGGUGGAAAGGUGGCCUUCGGCUGCCGCUUGCGGAUGGGCCCGCGGCGCAUUAGCUAGUUGGUGAGGUAACGGCUCACCAAGGUGACGAUGCGUAGCCGACCUGAGAGGGUGACCGGCCACACUGGGACUGAGACACGGCCCAGACUCCUACGGGAGGCAGCAGUAGGGAAUUUUCCGCAAUGGGCGAAAGCCUGACGGAGCAACGCCGCGUGAGCGAGGACGGCCUUCGGGUUGUAAAGCUCUGUUCUUCGGGAAGAACGGCGGGAGGGUGAACAGCUCUCUCGUUUGACGGUACCGAAGGAGAAAGCCCCGGCUAACUAC